This 221-nucleotide unclassified non-coding RNA is filed under the name plant metagenome. RNAcentral's name for it is "partial contains small subunit ribosomal RNA, internal transcribed spacer 1, and 5.8S ribosomal RNA". The record is from RNAcentral.
UUUCCGUUGGUGAACCAGCGGAAGGAUCAUUACUGGGAUCAUGCCCUUAACGGGGUAGACCUCCCACCCUGUGUUAUUACGAUUGUUGCUUUGGCAGGCCGCCCUCGGGCGCUCGGCUUCGGCUGAGGCGUGCCUGCCAGAAGACCCAAACCCUGUAUUUAGUGUUGUCCGAGUACUAUUUUAAUACGUUAAAACUUUCAACAACGGAUCUCUUGGUUCUG